AGACUUUUCAGUGCCAGGCAACCAUUGCGCUGUAGAGAAGUGGAACAACAUUCAUGGUACUGCUAUUGUUAAUCGAAAGAACUUUCUUUUGUUAACAUGGUACCCACUAACGUGUGCAUAUGCAUUUUUCUCCUGUAGUCCUAGAGGGAUAAAGACACAUAUAAUUACGAUGGAGGUGACAGGCCUGAAAAUGUGAGAAUUGAAGCAAUACAUUCCCUUGUAUAUAUGUUUUCUCUUUUGAAAUAUCUCAAUAGUUUUCCAAUUUGUUUCCUGUAAAUCUCAUAUUUUAAUACUCCUUAGACCUUAGUAAUGCAUAGGUGUAAUAUUUGUUGAUAUUGCAAUUUUGAAGGAUCUGCUUUUCUUGUAUAGAUCUAUUUUUUUAAUCUUGAAGGCAGUACGAGAGGCCCUAAUGACAUAUAUACAGUACUAACAAGAAUAUGGGGGCUUUCAUAACUUGAGGUAGCUUCCAUCUUCUUGUUGUGUAUUUAUUUUUCUUAGAUGAAAAUCUUACACCAAGAAGUGGGGUCUCUCAGAAAAUUAUCAUUGUUAUUCUCCUUUUCAUUGUUUGGGCUUUUUUUCUCAAUAUAUGCUUCUACAAAAAAAAUGUAGGUCGGCCCCAUGUUGCCACCGUGGCCGGUGACUCGGGUGGAUCCAAUCCCCCCGGCCUCCAGGGUCAUUGUGCCCUCUCUCCAUUACCUCCUUCGUCGCUGGAGGAUGCUGACGGGCUAAGCCUAGGGGGUCGACGAUGAUGGCGGAGGCUCCUGCCUUCACUGCAUCGGUGGAUCACGCGGAAUCUCUGGGCACAUGGAGCAUUGCCAAAACCAGCACCAGGGUGGCGCUCGGCUGACUCCCGACGUUGGUUCCACACAAACACAUGGGGAGGGGAACUAUAUGUUACAAUCUGAAAAUGGCUAAGGAGACAUCAGAUCUACCUUCUUGGCUCGGAGGGUGUCAUGGGUGGCGCACAACUCCCCCCUAUCGACAGAAACACAUGGGGAGGGGAACAGAACAGAGAGCGGGGCGGUUGGCGGGGGACUCCUCGGCGGUCCGUGGGGAAAUACAAUGUGAAGAAGAGAGUGCGACAUGACGAAGGUGAGAUGGGCGUUAUCUGGUUUCAAUGGAGAGGGCUCCAGUGAAAAAUGUCCCGUUAUGGCGGGAAACGAGUGGGGAGGUGAGGGUUCGGCAGGGAAAGAGAAGGGUGCGUCGUGGGUGUGGUUUUUUUUAAUUUGUUCGGCGCGCACUUGUUAGAGAUAACAUGGCCAAUAGUCUGGAUAACCAUAUUUCUUCCUCACAUAUGGAUAUGCAUGGAUUUGAAGAUACCCUAUUCUCGAGACGGUUGAAUUUUGGGGAUCCUGUUAGAUGUUCGUUUGAUGUACGUUCACACUCGAACGUAGGAGGGAGAAAUGAGCUUCCACUUUAGAAUUUAAUUAUUUUUUUGAUUUAUUUAUAUGCAUUGUAGUCCGUAGCAACGCACGGGCAUUCUACUGGACUGACAUAAAGUCAGUGAGUUCAAAAUUUCCAUGUUUAGUUUUGACUGAUGUUAUGGUUCUUCAUUGAGUUUUGUUCCAGGUAUUUACCUAGAUCCUUGAAAUGCUAUUCGUAUUGGCCUGAAUGCAGUUGAAUUCUGAAUCAUAAACAAGCUGGGAGAUUUGUCUUCCACAUAGUAGGUGCUGAUGCUUAUGAUUUUCUUCAAAAAAGAUAUGGGAAAGGCUAACCCAAUAUUUUAGUUUUCAUUAUGAGGACCAUGUACAUAAUCGACCAUAUAGUUCAAAAAAGAUCUAUUGGUGAAGGUUUGUUUGAGUUCCACUAUUUCAGUUCACACAUGUACAUGUUCUGUAUUUUUUGCAGUUUUUAGUGCAUGCUCGGAGAACAAGAUAAGAGGAGAGGCUUGAAUCUUGAGAUGACAAGGGUAGUCACCUGCUGCGACUAAAGGUUCAGUUUCAUACUUCUGAUGAUAUUGUUCGGAUGAUUGCCCUUGUACUAUUCUUUUUAGUACGUACUAAAAUAUCUUGUUGUACGAAAAUCUGAUUUCUACUAAAACUUUGUCAAGUGGCUCAUUUUUCUUGUACUAAUAUCUGAAUUUUUUUACUGAUUACUGAAAUGUACCUUGUUACUAAAACUUCAUAGGAAGGAGGUCAAUGAAGCAAAAGGCACGAAAAGGAAGGAGCAGCGCCACAGGGACGAUGUUGUCGGCAGCGCUUUGGAAGGAUUCGCUCCAGAGAAGUUACGGUAGUCGGCCAUCGCCCAGGGGAAGCGGGGAGGAUGUCGUUCGAAACGCCUGGGUCUAGAGGAGUGUGUCCAGGUGGUGGCCGAGGAUGGCGACGAGCAAUUGGGUUGAGCAUUUGUCAACGUGAUGGUGUCGUUGCUAAAG
RNAcentral lists this long non-coding RNA (2371 nucleotides) under Triticum aestivum (bread wheat). RNAcentral describes it as "long non-coding RNA (TAES_LNC022920)". Lineage: Eukaryota; Viridiplantae; Streptophyta; Magnoliopsida; Poales; Poaceae. The record is from RNAcentral.